RNAcentral lists this long non-coding RNA (566 nucleotides) under Marmota monax (woodchuck). The record is from RNAcentral. Lineage: Eukaryota; Metazoa; Chordata; Mammalia; Rodentia; Sciuridae.
GGUGAUUCUAAGUAUAUGUGUUUAUAACAGUUGAAGUGUGAAUUUAACAUAUUAAAAGAGUUUUACAGCAUCUGUUCAGAAAAGAUUGUAUACUAUGCAAACUAUUCAAGUCAUACAAAACCAUUUUUGCAGUGUCUUUUCAACUGAGAAGAAUUCUAUUCAGCACUCUUCUCCUUCUGAGGUGGUUCAUACUGAACAAGCUUUGCUUUCAGUUUUUUAUUUUCUUCUACAGUAGCUUCAUAUUUUUCUUUCAUUUCUGCCCAUUCUAAGCUGGGCAACUCUAUUUCUGGAUUUUCUAGGGUAGCAGCUCUUAAGUGAUGCUUUAAAAAAUCCAGGGGCUGGGGAUGUGGCUCAAGGGGUAGUGCCCUCGCCUGGCGUGUGUGCGGCCCGGGGUCGAUCCUCAGCACCACAUACAAAGAUGUUGUGUCUGCAGAAAACUGAAAAAUAAAUAUCGUUCUCUCUCUCUCUCUCUCAAAAAAAAAAAAAAAAAAUCCAAAGCACUAUUAGGUUUCUCUGGUUCUUCAUCUAAGGCUACCAACACCUUGGUCAGCAUGUCCAGCACCCCC